Molecule: ribosomal RNA, 482 nt
Filed under: uncultured bacterium
Lineage: Bacteria
Description: partial 16S ribosomal RNA
Rfam family: Bacterial small subunit ribosomal RNA
Source: RNAcentral
GACGAACGCUGGCGGCGUGCUUAACACAUGCAAGUCGAACGAUGAAGCAGAGAGACGCGUCCUUCGGUGCAAGUGUCACUCCGGUGUAGUGGCAGACGGGAGAGUAACGCGUGGGCAACCUACCCCUCACAAAAGGAUAGCCACGGGCAACCGAGAUUAUUAACCUCAGACACCAUCAGAAGGCAACGUAAGAAUGUUAAAGCUACGGCGGUAAGGGAUGGGCUCGCGUCCCAUUAGAUGGAAGGGGAGGUAACGGCCCACCAAGGCGACGGUGGGUAACCGGGCUGUGAGGGGGAACCGUCACAUUGGAACUGAGACACGGUCCAAACUCCUACGGGAGGCAGCAGUGGGGAAUAGUGCACAACGGAGGGAACUCUGAUGCAGCGCCGACGCGUGAGCGAUGAAGUAAUUCGUUUCGUAAAGCUCUGUUCUAUGUGAAGAAAAUGACUGUACCAAAGGAGAAAGCCCCGGCUAACUACGUG